RNAcentral lists this unclassified non-coding RNA (452 nucleotides) under Hevea brasiliensis (rubber tree). The record is from RNAcentral. Lineage: Eukaryota; Viridiplantae; Streptophyta; Magnoliopsida; Malpighiales; Euphorbiaceae.
GAACAGCGCCUAGCAAUAUGAACUGCAAAAAAAUUAAAUAAAAUUAGCAAAAAGUUUGACUGUCACAACAAUACAACAAGUAGACAGGUAAAAUCUCAUUAACUAGAGGUUCAGUAUGCUGCAAUACGAACUGCAAAAGAACUUACUAGAAUUAGCAAGAAGUUUCACUCUCACAAUACAAGUAGACAGGUAAAAAUUCAUUAACUAGAGGUUCAAUAUGCUGCAAAAGUUGACUAACAGAAUCUUGAGCUUUGAACAAACAAAUAGUAGCAUAAUGCUGGGUUUUAAUCAUAGAUGCUUGAAACACAUCAUAAGAAAUGAAAGAUAGGGGAACAAAAGAUUGACAAUAAAAUGUACAAACAAGAAUAAAGAUAUUCUGAGCAAAAUGCAAAGAAAACUUUCCUUUACUUGAAAGAAUUACAAACACUUUCCAUUAAACUUUAGACACCAAU